RNAcentral lists this ribosomal RNA (226 nucleotides) under uncultured bacterium. Its description in RNAcentral is "partial 16S ribosomal RNA". It matches the Rfam family "Bacterial small subunit ribosomal RNA", at positions 538 to 763 of the family's 1533-position model. The record is from RNAcentral.
ACGUUGUUCGGAAUCACUGGGUUUAAAGGGCGCGUAGGCGGGCGGUCAAGUCGGUGGUGAAAUCUUUCAGCUCAACUGGAAAAUCGCCUUCGAUACUGGCGGUCUGGAGGGAGGUAGGGGCAUGCGGAACUUCCGGUGGAGCGGUGAAAUGCGUAGAUAUCGGAAGGAACACCGAUGGCGAAAGCAGCGUGCUGGACCUUUUCUGACGCUGAGGCGCGAAAGCCAG